ACCUUCGUGGUGUAGUGGUCAGCACGCUCGACGCGUAACCGAGAGGUCCAUGGUUCGAUUCCCGGAGAAGGCG
RNAcentral lists this transfer RNA (73 nucleotides) under Stegodyphus mimosarum. It matches the Rfam family "tRNA". Rfam says of the family: Transfer RNA (tRNA) molecules are approximately 80 nucleotides in length. Their secondary structure includes four short double-helical elements and three loops (D, anti-codon, and T loops). The record is from Rfam by way of RNAcentral. Lineage: Eukaryota; Metazoa; Arthropoda; Arachnida; Araneae; Eresidae.